Molecule: long non-coding RNA, 1204 nt
Filed under: Homo sapiens (human)
Lineage: Eukaryota; Metazoa; Chordata; Mammalia; Primates; Hominidae
Description: long non-coding RNA NONHSAT198805.1
Source: RNAcentral
CUUGAUCUGUGAUUUAUAGAUAGGCACAGCUACUCCCGUUCGGGAACCCAACGGCAGACAGGUCCUAGUGCCCAUCAGAUACCCGCGGCCGGGACUCGGAGCUGUGGGGUGUGGGGAGGCGGAGGCACCAACUAAGAGCGACCUAGCAUCGCAAAGCCGCCCUCGGGGCGCUCAUGGCGGGACGCCUCCUGGGAAAGGCUUUAGCCGCGGUGUCUCUCUCUCUGGCCUUGGCCUCUGUGACUAUCAGGUCCUCGCGCUGCCGCGGCAUCCAGGCGUUCAGAAACUCGUUUUCAUCUUCUUGGUUUCAUCUUAAUACCAACGUCAUGUCUGGUUCUAAUGGUUCCAAAGAAAAUUCUCACAAUAAGGCUCGGACGUCUCCUUACCCAGGUUCAAAAGUUGAACGAAGCCAGGUUCCUAAUGAGAAAGUGGGCUGGCUUGUUGAGUGGCAAGACUAUAAGCCUGUGGAAUACACUGCAGUCUCUGUCUUGGCUGGACCCAGGUGGGCAGAUCCUCAGAUCAGUGAAAGUAAUUUUUCUCCCAAGUUUAACGAAAAGGAUGGGCAUGUUGAGAGAAAGAGCAAGAAUGGCCUGUAUGAGAUUGAAAAUGGAAGACCGAGAAAUCCUGCAGGACGGACUGGACUGGUGGGCCGGGGGCUUUUGGGGCGAUGGGGCCCAAAUCACGCUGCAGAUCCCAUUAUAACCAGAAGCCCCUCCAAGUAGGUAUUGAUAUAUCUAUUUUGAGGAUUUGAAAAUAGAGACUCACUGGGGUUAAGUUACUUGCCUAAAUGUUGUAGAUCUGACAUCUGAAUCAGGGAGUAUAUUCAUUCUACUGGAGAAUCACCCAGGCACUUUCAGAGCCAAGAUUUCACCCCCCUUUCUUUCAAGUAUGCACUUCAUGAUUCAAAACAGCGUUGUUCAGGAUUUCAUAAACUUUUUCAGAAGCUCCGGGGCAGGUGUUAAAUUUUCGGAUUCCCAGGCAUCUCUCCUAGAGAUUGUCCAGAUGGAAAAGGGAUAGCAGUGGAAAUAAAAUCAUGCAUCCUGUUUCUGGGAAGCAUAUCUUACAAUUUGUUGCAAUAAAAAGGAAAGACUGUGGAGAAUGGGCAAUCCCAGGGGGGAUGGUGGAUCCAGGAGAGAAGAUUAGUGCCACACUGAAAAGAGAAUUUGGUGAGGAAGCUCUCAACUCCUUACAGAAAACCAGUGCUGAG